GGACAAAGUGACAGGUGGUGCAUGGUUGUCGUCAGCUCGUGUCGUGAGAUGUUGGGUUAAGUCCCGCAACGAGCGCAACCCUUAAGCUUAGUUGCCAGCAUUAAGUUGGGCACUCUAAGUUGACUGCCGGUGACAAACCGGAGGAAGGUGGGGAUGACGUCAAAUCAUCAUGCCCCUUAUGAUUUGGGCUACACACGUGCUACAAUGGACAAUACAAAGGGCAGCUAAACCGCGAGGUCAUGCAAAUCCCAUAAAGUUGUUCUCAGUUCGGAUUGUAGUCUGCAACUCGACUACAUGAAGCUGGAAUCGCUAGUAAUCGUAGAUCAGCAUGCUACGGUGAAUACGUUCCCGGGUCUUGUACACACCGCCCGUCACACCACGAGAGUCUGUAACACCCGAAGCCGGUGGAGUAACCAUUUAUGGAGCUAGCCGUCGAAGGUGGGACAAAUGAUUGGGGUGAAGUCGUAACAAGGUAGCCGUAUCGGAAGGUGCGGCUGGAUCACCUC
This 506-nucleotide ribosomal RNA is filed under the name uncultured bacterium. RNAcentral describes it as "bacterial SSU rRNA". It matches the Rfam family "Bacterial small subunit ribosomal RNA", at positions 1024 to 1529 of the family's 1533-position model. The record is from RNAcentral.